ACAUACUUCUUUAUGUACCCAUAUGAACAUACAUUGCUAUGGAAUGUAAAGAAGUAUGUAU
This 61-nucleotide microRNA precursor is filed under the name Echinops telfairi (small Madagascar hedgehog). Its description in RNAcentral is "Ete-Mir-1-P1_pre stem-loop". It matches the Rfam family "mir-1 microRNA precursor family", at positions 10 to 70 of the family's 79-position model. From Rfam's summary of the family: This family represents the microRNA (miRNA) mir-1 family. miRNAs are transcribed as ~70nt precursors (modelled here) and subsequently processed by the Dicer enzyme to give a ~22nt product. Lineage: Eukaryota; Metazoa; Chordata; Mammalia; Afrosoricida; Tenrecidae. The record is from RNAcentral.